CCUACGGGUGGCUGCAGUGAGGACUAUUGGUCAAUGGGCGGGAGCCUGAACCAGCCAAGUCGCGUGAGGGAUGACGGCCCUAUGGGUUGUAAACCUCUUUUGCCGGGGAGCAAAGUGCCGCACGUGUGCGGUUUGGAGAUUACCCGGCGAACAAGCAUCGGAAAACUCCGUGCCAUCCGACGCGGUAAUACGGGGGAUGCGAGCGUUAUCCGGAUUUAUUGGGUUUAACGGGUGCGUAGGGGGACGCUUAAGUCAGGGGUAAAAUUGCGGGGCUCAACCUCGUCGAGCCGUUGAGACUGGGUGCCUAGAGUGGGCGAGAAGGACGCGGAAUGCGAGGUGUAGCGGUGAAAUGCAUAGAUAUCACGCAGAACUCCGAUUGCGAAGGCAGCGUACCGGCGCCCAACUGACGCUGAAGCACGAAGGCGUGGGUAGCGAACAGGAUUAGAUACCCCUGUAGUC
Molecule: ribosomal RNA, 459 nt
Filed under: uncultured bacterium
Lineage: Bacteria
Description: partial 16S ribosomal RNA
Rfam family: Bacterial small subunit ribosomal RNA
Source: RNAcentral